GGUUUUAACCCAGUAUCUCAAGGUACUAAGGGCGUCCGACCUUCCUUCCACCUGUGGUUGCGUCGAAAACCUCAAUUUUUGGAGCGCCUUCCCGGGGUAUCCGAGAAGGCAA
RNAcentral lists this small RNA (112 nucleotides) under Ancylostoma ceylanicum. RNAcentral describes it as "SL2 RNA". It matches the Rfam family "SL2 RNA". Rfam says of the family: This family represents SL2 RNA. SL2 RNA is involved in trans splicing in lower eukaryotes. Trans-splicing is a form of RNA processing. The record is from Rfam by way of RNAcentral. Lineage: Eukaryota; Metazoa; Nematoda; Chromadorea; Rhabditida; Ancylostomatidae.